Molecule: ribosomal RNA, 496 nt
Filed under: uncultured bacterium
Lineage: Bacteria
Description: partial 16S ribosomal RNA
Rfam family: Bacterial small subunit ribosomal RNA
Source: RNAcentral
AUGCACGCUGGCGGCGUGCCUCAUCCCUGCCAGUCGAGCGAACAGACGAGGAGCUUGCUCCUCUGACGUUAGCGGCGGACGGGUGAGUAACACGUGGAUAACCUACCUAUAAGACUGGGAUAACUUCGGGAAACCGGAGCUAAUACCGGAUAAUAUAUUGAACCGCAUGGUUCAAUAGUGAAAGACGGUUUUGCUGUCACUUAUAGAUGGAUCCGCGCCGCAUUAGCUAGUUGGUAAGGUAACGGCUUACCAAGGCAACGAUGCGUAGCCGACCUGAGAGGGUGAUCGGCCACACUGGAACUGAGACACGGUCCAGACUCCUACGGGAGGCAGCAGUAGGGAAUCUUCCGCAAUGGGCGAAAGCUUGACGGAGCAACGCCGCGUGAGUGAUGAAGGUCUUCGGAUCGUAAAACUCUGUUAUUAGGGAAGAACAAAUGUGUAAGUAACUAUGCACGUCUUGACGGUACCUAAUCAGAAAGCCACGGCUAACUACGUG